Molecule: transfer RNA, 55 nt
Filed under: Ancylostoma caninum (dog hookworm)
Lineage: Eukaryota; Metazoa; Nematoda; Chromadorea; Rhabditida; Ancylostomatidae
Description: tRNA-Tyr
Source: RNAcentral
AAGAAUAUAGUUUAAUUUAAAAUAUUAGAUUGUAAAUCUAAAGUUGUGGUUCUUG